This 1729-nucleotide unclassified non-coding RNA is filed under the name Copidosoma floridanum. RNAcentral's name for it is "uncharacterized LOC106645224, transcript variant X3". Lineage: Eukaryota; Metazoa; Arthropoda; Insecta; Hymenoptera; Encyrtidae. The record is from RNAcentral.
UCAUGAGUAACAUCAAACUAGUUUUUUUUACGCUCGUGUUGUAAUACAAUAGUUUCACAAGUACUUAGUAAAUACGGUAUCUAAAUUGUGCGACUGGUAUUAUUUAAUCGAGUACUAUACAAUACACAUGAAGACGACUAAAUCAGGGAGGAUAAUGAAAAGAAAAACGAAUUCUCAAGAGCUGAGGAAAAAAAAGGUUGGAACUGCUUUCACCACAAAGAGGUACGUUGAGGAGGACGAAAUAGCUUCCAAGAAGUUGCGAGAAGACGUAUCACCCUACGUGGAGGAGAGUUUCAGCGACGAUGAUGACAACCAUAUGGAUUACGAGGACUACAAACGCCACCAUCAACUGCAACGAUCUAAAGUCAACGAUAGGGUAAGCACGAGUUCGGUGGAGACCACCCACUUGGUGAGCGACCCAAUUGAGACUGAUGAGAUAAGUCCGGCCCAGGCUGCGGCGAUGGCAGCCAACCUUCCAGGAGCACGACGAAGAGGUCGUGGUCCGUCGAAGCGCCCGUGUCUCAAUAGAAACGCUCAGAUGGCUCGCGAAAAUCGACAACGCAAAAAAUUGUACCUGCAAAGCAUCGAGGAUAAGCAGAACGAGUACUAUGCGAAGAACAAGGCACUUGUUGGCAUCAUCGAAAAACAAAACAAGCAGAUACAGAGUCUCGCGAGUAACGUCAAUUAUUUUCAAGCCCUCGUUGCCAAUCAGUCCGAGAUCACGACUCUCCUUGUUGCUUUAAAUGAGGCCAUCAAAGCCCUCCACGGGAGUAAGGAUACUCUCUCCCUGUCCAAUAACAUUACCACUUCUCUACAAAAUGUCAAUAGGAAUUUGAAUAAAUUGUCCCAAAGUAAUCAAAGUUUUGCAUCGAAUGUAAGUAAUAAUAAUCAACCUGUGCCUCUAUCCGGAAUGCAAGGUUUUGGACAAAUUGCUCGAAAAACGAUGCCUCUUACAAACGCAGCUUCAGGGGUAUCGUCAAGUCUGUCUCCCACAACAAAGACUGAGGAACCAUCGAGCGUCGAGAGCUUAUUCCUAGACGAAGACACACAUAAACUCGAACAGUUGCCAGAGUCGCAUUCCUAUUGUAAGUAUAACGUAAUGAAUACGAGUACGGUGGGCCCUGGCAGCUGGAGUAUUAAUCAGAUGCCCACGACGCCGCUGAGCGAAGCGCAGUCAAAUUCUGUGGAUCACUGCGAAGCUAGUCUAUCCGAAACGGAUCUACAUGCGCUUUCAAAUAUUAACGUUGAUAACUUUUUAUUCAAUAACAUGGAUAAUCUACCAAACUCCUCCACGGAUAUGCAGUAGACGUGGAUUUUCAUAGAGAAACUAUUGCCUGCCUAUUCAGUAUUAUUUUUCUGCAACAGUUUCAGCUGACUUGAAGAGCCUUUUUGAGUUUCUCGGAGCUAUUAGUAAUACAUACACUUGCUGCUGACCGAUCUUAAGACUAUGAUAAUUUUAAUCAUGAGGAUGUUUAAAUCUGUCAAAGCCUUUUUUGCCUUAGAUCUGAAAAGUAUUUUCACAGGUCUUGGAAGAGUGAUAUCGAAUUUGUUAUGAAAACUUUGAGAUCCUGUGCAUAUGCAUCUACCAGAACAUGUACGGAAAAAGAAUUGACAAAUAAGGUGCAUUUUCACGUGAAUUUUAUACAAGUUAAUCCCAACAAUUUUUUUCAAUGUCUCAACAUUGUUGAAUUAUGCUAAAAAAAAAAUAUGUUGGAAAAAUGUAAUUAAA